This 56-nucleotide ribosomal RNA is filed under the name Legionella beliardensis. Lineage: Bacteria; Pseudomonadati; Pseudomonadota; Gammaproteobacteria; Legionellales; Legionellaceae. The record is from RNAcentral.
UCCUGGCGACCAUAGCCGUUUGGAACCACCUGAUCCAUCUCGAACUCAGAAGUGAA